RNAcentral lists this long non-coding RNA (616 nucleotides) under Sus scrofa (pig). Its description in RNAcentral is "lncRNA (ENSSSCG00070014299.1)". Lineage: Eukaryota; Metazoa; Chordata; Mammalia; Artiodactyla; Suidae. The record is from RNAcentral.
GGUCACAUCCCAAAUUCCCAGGGAAGGACUCUGAUUGGUCCAAUUUGGCUCCAAGGCCAUCUUUGGACCAAUCAGCUGUGACCAGGAAGCAGAAUCGUUGGAUGUAAAUAUGUCUGUUCUCAUUUAUCUAUGUAAUAGAGGGGAUGAGAGGAAAGGUCCAGUAUCCUGGUAGCUGGGGAAGCUAAUCACAUAAAACAAGUUUUUUUACGCAUUUUUUUCCCUACGAAUUUCUAGAAACUUUAAAAGGAAAGAUUGGAGAAGAAGAGGGGCAUGAGCCAAGUAAGCUCUGGGGGAGCUUCGGAAUUAACCAGCUCCCCCACAUUACUGAUGAGCUUCUUCCAGCUAAUGGAAUAAUGAAAACACAAAACAGAUUUACCGUUCUUAAUAAGAGAGAGAGAUAAUGAAGGCAAAUUAAAAUGGAAGCUCAGAUCUGCGUGGAGAACAGCUCGCUGCCAUGCAUGUGGCUCAAAGACAAAGGAAAGCGCUUAAUAAAAAAAAGCAAAAAAUUACCUGAGUUUGUGGACCAAGAAUAAGCCAAGAACAACACUGGGUGAGUAAGGAAAGGGGCCAGCGUGGAGGGUGGCACAGAGCAUGUGCUGGUCAAUGUUAGCUCCUU